GCAGUCGAGCGGAUGAAGGGAGCUUGCUCCUGGAUUCAGCGGCGGACGGGUGAGUAAUGCCUAGGAAUCUGCCUGGUAGUGGGGGAUAACGUCCGGAAACGGGCGCUAAUACCGCAUACGUCCUGAGGGAGAAAGUGGGGGAUCUUCGGACCUCACGCUAUCAGAUGAGCCUAGGUCGGAUUAGCUAGUUGGUGGGGUAAAGGCCUACCAAGGCGACGAUCCGUAACUGGUCUGAGAGGAUGAUCAGUCACACUGGAACUGAGACACGGUCCAGACUCCUACGGGAGGCAGCAGUGGGGAAUAUUGGACAAUGGGCGAAAGCCUGAUCCAGCCAUGCCGCGUGUGUGAAGAAGGUCUUCGGAUUGUAAAGCACUUUAAGUUGGGAGGAAGGGCAGUAAGUUAAUACCUUGCUGUUUUGACGUUACCAACAGAAUAAGCACCGGCUAACUUCGUGCCAGCAGCCGCGGUAAUACGAAGGGUGCAAGCGUUAAUCGGAAUUACUGGGCGUAAAGCGCGCGUAGGUGGUUCAGCAAGUUGGAUGUGAAAUCCCCGGGCUCAACCUGGGAACUGCAUCCAAAACUACUGAGCUAGAGUACGGUAGAGGGUGGUGGAAUUUCCUGUGUAGCGGUGAAAUGCGUAGAUAUAGGAAGGAACACCAGUGGCGAAG
Molecule: ribosomal RNA, 667 nt
Filed under: Pseudomonas fluorescens
Lineage: Bacteria; Pseudomonadati; Pseudomonadota; Gammaproteobacteria; Pseudomonadales; Pseudomonadaceae
Description: bacterial SSU rRNA
Rfam family: Bacterial small subunit ribosomal RNA
Source: RNAcentral